Molecule: long non-coding RNA, 1047 nt
Filed under: Homo sapiens (human)
Lineage: Eukaryota; Metazoa; Chordata; Mammalia; Primates; Hominidae
Description: LHRI_LNC1619.4
Source: RNAcentral
UCACUUUUGAAAUAUCAACCAUAUAUAUAUCUAGAGACUUCAUUUCAAUCAAGCAAAUGUGCUUAGAAGAUGACCUUUCCAUGCAAGAUAAGUUAAAUGUGGUGGCAUCAUAAUACUAAAAAACCUGGGCUUAGAUAAUGAUUACGCCAAACCACUGGAUUCAAGAAAAAGCUCGUCAUGCCCAACUAUUGCAUGACAGUAUGUGAGAGCCAACCGACUAAAGAUAUUUUAGGAGAAUAAAAUAUUUGGAGAGCAUUGGAGUAAGGACUGUCAUUCCUGGAAUGGAAGCAUUUAAUUAAAAUGACCAUAAGCCUGAAGUGACUGGGGCAUGGGAAUAUCCUUGAUGAGAAGAUAGUGAAGCAUGUAACACCCUGGGAUAGAUGGUGCUGAUGGAACAUUUUGAGGAGACCCAAGUUGUUGGUGGAGGUGAUGGGAGACUCAGGACAACAGAAAGUAUGGGAUUUUCAAUGCUGCAGAAAUGGGGCUGAUAUGGUUUGGCUCUGUCCCCACCCAAAUAUCACCUUGAACUGUAGCUCCCAUAAUUCCCAUGUGUGGUGGGAGGGACCCAGUGGGAGGUAAUUGAAUCAUGGGGGCUGGUUUCUCCCAUGCUAUUCUCAUGAUAGUGAGUAAGUCUCACGAGAUCUGAUGGUUUUAUAAAGGGGAGUUUCCCUACACAAAUUCUGUCUUGCCUGCUGCCAUGUAAGACGUGACUUUGCUCCUUAUUCACCUUCUGCUGCGAUUGUGAUGCCACCCCCAGCCAUGAGUGAGCCAAACUCACUGUUACUGUGAGUCAAUUAAACCUCUUUCCUUUAUAAAUUACUCAGUCUCAGAUAUGUCUUUAUUAGUAGCAUGAGAACGGACUAAUACAGGGGCUCUGUUCUGACUAGGACAGAAAUUUAACACUUGGCAUCACAGAAUGGCCCCAACCUGAGCUAGCAGUGGGUGAAUGGUCAGCUCACAGUACAAGCUGCUUUUGGUAAACGUCUUGCAGACUGCAACCAGCCUAAAGCUAAAAUCACAGUAAAUAAGCAUGAGCGGAUAUAAAAG